CCUACGGGUGGCUGCAGUGAGGAAUAUUGGUCAAUGGCCGAGAGGCUGAACCAGCCAAGUCGCGUGAGGGAUGACGGCCCUACGGGUUGUAAACCUCUUUUGUCGGGGAGCAAAGAGAGUCCCGUGUGGCUCAUUGCGAGUACCCGAAGAAAAAGCAUCGGCAAACUCCGUGCCAGCAGCCGCGGUCAUACGGAGGAUGCGAGCGUUAUCCGGAUUUAUUGGGUUUAAAGGGUGCGCAGGCGGAGGUGCAAGUCAGUGGUCAAAUUGCGGGGCUCAACCCCGUACUGCCGUUGAAACUGCAGCCCUUGAGUGCGCGAGAAGUAUGCGGAAUGCGUGGUGUAGCGGUGAAAUGCAUAGAUAUCACGCAGAACUCCGAUUGCGAAGGCAGCAUACCGGCGCGCAACUGACGCUCAUGCACGAAAGCGUGGGUAUCGAACAGGAUUAGAUACCCGUGUAGUC
This 459-nucleotide ribosomal RNA is filed under the name uncultured bacterium. Its description in RNAcentral is "partial 16S ribosomal RNA". It matches the Rfam family "Bacterial small subunit ribosomal RNA", at positions 338 to 795 of the family's 1533-position model. The record is from RNAcentral.